RNAcentral lists this ribosomal RNA (867 nucleotides) under uncultured archaeon. RNAcentral describes it as "bacterial SSU rRNA". It matches the Rfam family "Archaeal small subunit ribosomal RNA", at positions 48 to 894 of the family's 1478-position model. The record is from RNAcentral.
GGUAUGCUAGUCGAACGACCAGAACUAUGUCUGGAAGUGGCACACUGCUCAGUAACACGUAGCUAACCUACCCUAGGACGUGGAUACCCCCCCGAGAAAUUGGGGUUAAUCCGCGAUAGGUGUAAUGUCCUGGAAUGGUAUUACGCUAAAGGUGUAUCAUACAUGUUUGAUAUACGCCUAAGGAUGGGGCUGCGGCCGAUCAGGCUGUUGGUGAGGUAAUGGCUCACCAAACCUUUGACCGGUACGGGCCAUGAGAGUGGUAGCCCGGAGAUGGACACUGAGACAAGGGUCCAGGCCCUAAGGGGCGCAGCAACCGCGAAACCUCCACAAUGCACUCACGUGCGAUGGGGCUAUCUCGAGUGCCACCUGAUGAAGGUGGCUUUUCCUAGGUCUUCAAAGCCUUGGGAAUAAGAGGGGGGCAAGACUGGUGUCAGCCGCCGCGGUAACACCAGCCCCUCGAGUGGGUGGGGAUGAUUAUUUGGCCUAAAGCGUCCGUAGCCGGCCGAGCAAGUCUUCCGUUAAAUCCAGCGUCUCAAGCGUUGGACUGCGGGAGAUACUACACGGCUAGAGAGUGGGAGAGGUCAGCGGUAUUCUGGGGGUAGGGGCGAAAUCCUUUGAUCCCCGGAGGACCACCAGUGGCGAAGGCUGCUGACUAGAACACGUCUGACGGUCAGGGACGAAAGCUGGGGUAGCGAACCGGAUUAGAUACCCGGGUAGUCCCAGCCGUAAACGAUGCAUGCUAGGUGUUGGGUUGGCCACGAGCCACCCCAGUGCCGCAGGGAAGCCGUUAAGCAUGCCGCCUGGGAAGUACGAUCGCAAGAUUGAAACUUAAAGGAAUUGGCGGGGGAGCACCACCAGGCGUGAAGC